UCCCCGAUAGCUCAACGGCCAGAGCGUCGGACAUGUAAUUCGGAGGUUGUGGGUUCGAACCCCGCUUAGGGAG
Molecule: non-coding RNA, 73 nt
Organism: Harmonia axyridis
Lineage: Eukaryota; Metazoa; Arthropoda; Insecta; Coleoptera; Coccinellidae
Source: the annotation of a RefSeq genome assembly